RNAcentral lists this ribosomal RNA (253 nucleotides) under uncultured bacterium. RNAcentral's name for it is "partial 16S ribosomal RNA". It matches the Rfam family "Bacterial small subunit ribosomal RNA", at positions 524 to 776 of the family's 1533-position model. The record is from RNAcentral.
UACGGGGGGGGUAAGCGUUGUUCGGAAUUACUGGGCGUAAAGGGCUCGUAGGCGGCCAACUAAGUCAGACGUGAAAUCCCUCGGCUUAACCGGGGAACUGCGUCUGAUACUGGAUGGCUUGAGUUCGGGAGAGGGAUGCGGAAUUCCAGGUGUAGCGGUGAAAUGCGUAGAUAUCGAGAGGAACACCUGCGGCGAAGGCGGCUCACUGGACCGGUACUGACGCUGAUGCGCGAAAGCGUGGGGAGCAAACAGG